This 281-nucleotide ribosomal RNA is filed under the name uncultured Eubacteriales bacterium. RNAcentral's name for it is "uncultured Clostridiales bacterium partial 16S ribosomal RNA". It matches the Rfam family "Bacterial small subunit ribosomal RNA", at positions 64 to 339 of the family's 1533-position model. The record is from RNAcentral. Lineage: Bacteria; Bacillati; Bacillota; Clostridia; Eubacteriales.
AAUCGGAAGUUUUCGGAUGGAAGAGUGGACAGUUUAGUGGCGAACGGGUGAGUAACGCGUGAGUAACCUACCUUUCAGAGGGGGACAACAGUUGGAAACGACUGCUAAUACCGCAUAAGCCCACGGUGUCACAUGGCACAGUGAGAAAGGAGAAAUCCGCUGAAAGAUGGACUCGCGUCUGAUUAGAUAGUUGGUGGGGUAACGGCCUACCAAGUCGACGAUCAGUAGCCGGACUGAGAGGUUGAACGGCCACAUUGGGACUGAGAGACGGCCCAGACUCC